AGAUUGAACGCUGGCGGCAGGCCUAACACAUGCAAGUCGAGCGGUAGAGAGGUGCUUGCAUCUCUUGAGAGCGGCGGACGGGUGAGUAAUGCCUAGGAAUCUGCCUAGUGGUGGGGGAUAACGUUCGGAAACGGACGCUAAUACCGCAUACGUCCUACGGGAGAAAGCGGGGGACCUUCGGGCCUCGCGCCAUUAGAUGAGCCUAGGUCGGAUUAGCUAGUUGGUGAGGUAAUGGCUCACCAAGGCGACGAUCCGUAACUGGUCUGAGAGGAUGAUCAGUCACACUGGAACUGAGACACGGUCCAGACUCCUACGGGAGGCAGCAGUGGGGAAUAUUGGACAAUGGGACGAAAGCCUGAUCCAGCCAUGCCGCGUGUGUGAAGAGGUCUUCGGAUUAGUAAAGC
RNAcentral lists this ribosomal RNA (404 nucleotides) under uncultured soil bacterium. RNAcentral describes it as "bacterial SSU rRNA". It matches the Rfam family "Bacterial small subunit ribosomal RNA", at positions 26 to 431 of the family's 1533-position model. The record is from RNAcentral.